RNAcentral lists this ribosomal RNA (957 nucleotides) under uncultured Bacteroidota bacterium. RNAcentral describes it as "bacterial SSU rRNA". It matches the Rfam family "Bacterial small subunit ribosomal RNA", at positions 224 to 1181 of the family's 1533-position model. Lineage: Bacteria; Pseudomonadati; Bacteroidota. The record is from RNAcentral.
GAWGGGGAUGCGUUCCAUUAGAUAGUAGGCGGGGUAACGGCCCACCUAGUCAACGAUGGAUAGGGGUUCUGAGAGGAAGGUCCCCCACAUUGGAACUGAGACACGGUCCAAACUCCUACGGGAGGCAGCAGUGAGGAAUAUUGGUCAAUGGGCGAUGGCCUGAACCAGCCAAGUAGCGUGAAGGAUGACUGCCCUAUGGGUUGUAAACUUCUUUUAUAAAGGAAUAAAGUCGGGUAUGCAUACCCGUUUGCAUGUACUUUAUGAAUAAGGAUCGGCUAACUCCGUGCCAGCAGCCGCGGUAAUACGGAGGAUCCGAGCGUUAUCCGGAUUUAUUGGGUUUAAAGGGAGCGUAGAUGGAUGUUUAAGUCAGUUGUGAAAGUUUGCGGCUCAACCGUAAAAUUGCAGUUGAUACUGGAUGUCUUGAGUGCAGUUGAGGCAGGCGGAAUUCGUGGUGUAGCGGUGAAAUGCUUAGAUAUCACGAAGAACUCCGAUUGCGAAGGCAGCCUGCUAAGCUGCAACUGACAUUGAGGCUCGAAAGUGUGGGUAUCAAACAGGAUUAGAUACCCUGGUAGUCCACACGGWAAACGAUGAAUACUCGCUGUUUGCGAUAUACGGCAAGCGGCCAAGCGAAAGCGUUAAGUAUUCCACCUGGGGAGUACGCCGGCAACGGUGAAACUCAAAGGAAUUGACGGGGGCCCGCACAAGCGGAGGAACAUGUGGUUUAAUUCGAUGAUACGCGAGGAACCUUACCCGGGCUUAAAUUGCACUCGAAUGAUCCGGAAACGGUUCAGCUAGCAAUAGCGAGUGUGAAGGUGCUGCAUGGUUGUCGUCAGCUCGUGCCGUGAGGUGUCGGCUUAAGUGCCAUAACGAGCGCAACCCUUGUUGUCAGUUACUAACAGGUGAUGCUGAGGACUCUGACAAGACUGCCAUCGUAAGAUGUGAGGAAGGUGGGGGAUG